This 501-nucleotide ribosomal RNA is filed under the name uncultured bacterium. RNAcentral's name for it is "partial 16S ribosomal RNA". It matches the Rfam family "Bacterial small subunit ribosomal RNA", at positions 30 to 523 of the family's 1533-position model. The record is from RNAcentral.
AUUGAACGCUGGCGGCAUGCCUUACACAUGCAAGUCGAACGGCAGCACGGGUGCUUGCACCUGGUGGCGAGUGGCGAACGGGUGAGUAAUAUAUCGGAACGUACCUUAUUGUGGGGGAUAACGCAGCGAAAGCUGUGCUAAUACCGCAUAAUCCCUAAGGGGGAAAGCGGGGGACCGUAAGGCCUCGCGCAAUUAGGGCGGCCGAUACCUGAUUAUCUAGUUGGUGAGGUAAAGGCUCACCAAGGAAACGAUCAGUAGCUGGUCUGGGAGGACGAUCAGCCACACUGGGACUUAGACACGGCCCAGACUCCUACGGGAGGCAGCAGUGGGGAAUAGUGGACAAUGGGGGCAACCCUGAUCCAGCAAUGCCGCGUGAGUGAAGAAGGCCUUCGGGUUGUAAAGCUCUUUUGUCAGGGAAGAAACAGCAGCUCUAACACAGUUUGCGAAUGACGGUACCUGAAGAAUAAGCACCGGCUAACUACGUGCCAGCAGCCGCGGUAA